AUUUAAAUAGUUUAAAUAAAAUAUUAGGUUGUGGGCUUAAAGAUAUAAAUAGAAUUUUAAAUA
This 63-nucleotide transfer RNA is filed under the name unidentified. RNAcentral describes it as "Wallacea dactyliferae tRNA-His". The record is from RNAcentral.